GAUGAACGCUGACAGAAUGCUUAACACAUGCAAGUCUUUGGCGAAUCUGUGCUUGCACAGGCUAGCCAAGGCGGACGGGUGAGUAACGCGUAAAGAACUUGCCCUGCAGACAGGGAUAACAGACGGAAACGACUGACAACACCUGAUACAGUUGCCGGCACGCAUGUGCCUGGCAAUGAAAAGAGAUGCUGCGGGAGAGCUUUGCGUCCUAUUAGCUUGUUGGCGGGGUAACGGCCCACCAAGGCGAUGAUAGGUAGCCGGCCUGAGAGGGUGAACGGCCACAAGGGGACUGAGAUACGGCCCUUACUCCUACGGGAGGCAGCAGUGGGGAAUAUUGGACAAUGGGGGCAACCCUGAUCCAGCAAUUCUGUGUGCACGAUGAAGGUUUUCGGAUUGUAAAGUGCUUUCAGCAGGGAAGAAGGAAGUGACGGACCUGCAGAAGAGCGCG
Molecule: ribosomal RNA, 448 nt
Filed under: Leptotrichia hofstadii
Lineage: Bacteria; Fusobacteriati; Fusobacteriota; Fusobacteriia; Fusobacteriales; Leptotrichiaceae
Description: bacterial SSU rRNA
Rfam family: Bacterial small subunit ribosomal RNA
Source: RNAcentral